CCUACGGGUGGCAGCAGUGGGGGAUAUUGCACAAUGGGGGAAACCCUGAUGCAGCGACGCCGCGUGGGCGAAGAAGUAUUUCGGUAUGUAAAGCCCUAUCAGCAGGGAAGAAGAAAUGACGGUACCUGAGUAAGAAGCACCGGCUAAAUACGUGCCAGCAGACGCGGUAAUACGGGGGAUGCAAGCGGUAUCCGGAUUUACUGGGUGUAAAGGGAGCGUAGACGGCAGUGCAAGUCUGGAGUGAAAGGCGGGGGCUCAACCCCCGGACUGCCCUGGAAACUGUACGGCUGGAGUGCAGGAGAGGUAAGUGGAAGUCCAGGUGUAGCGGUGAAAUGCGUAGAUAUUAGGAGGAACACCAGUGGCGAAGGCGGCUUACUGGACUGUAACUGACGUUGAGGCUCGAAAGCGUGGGGAGCAAACAGGAUUAGAUACCCUUGUAGUC
RNAcentral lists this ribosomal RNA (442 nucleotides) under uncultured bacterium. RNAcentral describes it as "partial 16S ribosomal RNA". It matches the Rfam family "Bacterial small subunit ribosomal RNA", at positions 338 to 795 of the family's 1533-position model. The record is from RNAcentral.